Non-coding RNA from Microcebus murinus (gray mouse lemur), 1575 nucleotides. Lineage: Eukaryota; Metazoa; Chordata; Mammalia; Primates; Cheirogaleidae. The record is from RefSeq and is a predicted model, not a curated record.
CCUAUAGUCUCAGUUACCCAGGAGGCUGGCAGGAGGAUGGCUCAAGCCCAGUUAAUGGGGUAGGUAUAUUUACCAAAAUGCAAAUACAUUAGACACUACCCUUCAGGACAAGGGAUAACAGCUAAGACAAAAGACAAUAAAGGGCUUAGAGGAAAGGCUGGGGAAUGAAAUGCUCUGGGGAACAAGAUCUCUGUAAAGCCCUCACACAUUCAUGGGAAUCUAGAAGGUCAUGUGCACAUCCAGGGCUGGGCACGUGCUCAGAAAAGACCUGAGAAGGCCAUAAGCUCACAUCACCUCUGGCUGACCUUCAGACUAAGCAAGCAUAAAGCAAAAGCUAAGGCAGAGUUUUACUGCCUGGCUGAGAAUUGAAGGCUUGCCCUAAUGCACAGAGAGAACACGUCUACCAAGAACAGAAGAUUUUUUCCUUCCUAGGCAUUUAAGGAAAUCUCUGUCAAAUCACUAUCUGAGCCCUGACUUCAGCCUUAUACAAGGUAGCCAUGUAACAAAAAUAUGUGUAGCCUCUUAAUAUUAUGAAAUUAAAAAAAAAAAAAAUCACUAUAUGACUUCAGUAGCCACACAUGACAAAUAAUACAGACUGUACAAAAUUAGUUCAGAAAAGUCACUAAACAAACAACUACAACAAGCAGCAGUAAUAAAUAAUGGGGAGUAUCAGAUUUCUAGUUACCACAUUACAAUAUUCAAAAUGUCCAGUUUUAUGUCGGCAUUGGUGGCAUACUGGUGAGCAUCGCUGCCUUCCAAAAUGUCUAGCUUAUAACUAAAAAUUAAGAAACAUGCAAAGAAACAAAGAAAGCAUGACCCAAUUACAGGAAAAAAAGAAAAAAAGAAGUUAACAGAAACUGUCUCUGAGGAAACCCAGACAUUGGACUUAUUAGACAAAGACCUUAAAAUCAAAUAUUUUAAAUAUGCUCUUCUUUUCCUGAAAUCUGAUUAAUAAAAAAUAAAUAGAUAAAUAUGCUCAAAGAGCUAAAAGAAACAAUGGACAAAUAACUAAAGGAAACCAGGAAAAUGAUGUCAGACUAAAAGGAGUAUCUCAAUAAAGAACUAGAAAUAAAGGAACCACAUAGAAAUUUUGGAGUUGAAAAGUAAUAUAACUGAAAUAAAAAUACAUGAGAGGUUCAGCUUUCUGACUUGGGCCCGGCAGAAUGGCUCCUGCAAAGAAGAGUGACAAGAAGAAGGGCCGUUCUGCUAUCAACGAAGUGGUGACCCGAGAAUACAUCAUCAACAUUCACAAGCGCAUCCAUGGAGUGGGCUUCAAGAAGAGUGCCCCUCAGGCACUCAAAGAGAUCCAGAAAUUUGCCAUGAAGGAGAUGGGAACUCCAGAUGUGUGCAUUGGUACCAGGCUCAACAAAGCUGUCUGGGCCAAAGGAAUAAGGAAUGUCCCAAACAGGAUUCGUGUGCAGUUGUCUAGAAAACGUAAUGAGGAUGAAGAUUCACCAAACAAGCUCUAUACUUUGGUUACCUAUGUACCUGUUACCAUUUUCAAAAAUCUACAGACAGUCAACGUGGAUGAAAACUAACCACUGAUUGCCAAAUAUAUCAAAUAAAGUUAAAAAA